RNAcentral lists this ribosomal RNA (429 nucleotides) under Pseudomonadota bacterium. Its description in RNAcentral is "Proteobacteria bacterium partial 16S ribosomal RNA". It matches the Rfam family "Bacterial small subunit ribosomal RNA", at positions 355 to 776 of the family's 1533-position model. Lineage: Bacteria; Pseudomonadati; Pseudomonadota. The record is from RNAcentral.
UGGGGAAUAUUGGACAAUGGGCGAAAGCCUGAUCCAGCCAUGCCGCGUGUGUGAAGAAGGUCUUCGGAUUGUAAAGCACUUUAAGUUGGGAGGAAGGGCAGUAAGCGAAUACCUUGCUGUUUUGACGUUACCGACAGAAUAAGCACCGGCUAACUCUGUGCCAGCAGCCGCGGUAAUACAGAGGGUGCAAGCGUUAAUCGGAAUUACUGGGCGUAAAGCGCGCGUAGGUGGUUCGUUAAGUUGAAUGUGAAAGCCCCGGGCUCAACCUGGGAACUGCAUCCAAAACUGGCGAGCUAGAGUAGGGCAGAGGGUGGUGGAAUUUCCUGUGUAGCGGUGAAAUGCGUAAAUAUAGGAAGGAACACCAGUGGCGAAGGCGACCACCUGGGCUCAUACUGACACUGAGUUGCGAAAGCGUGGGGGGCAAACAGG